GCCCGGGUGGUGAAAUGGUAGACACCGGGGAUUUAAAAUCCCCUGCUUCGCGAGAGGCGUACCGGUUCGAGUCCGGUCCCGGGCACCA
Molecule: transfer RNA, 88 nt
Filed under: Aquabacterium olei
Lineage: Bacteria; Pseudomonadati; Pseudomonadota; Betaproteobacteria; Burkholderiales; Sphaerotilaceae
Also listed under: 1 other name
Description: tRNA-Leu
Rfam family: tRNA
About the family: Transfer RNA (tRNA) molecules are approximately 80 nucleotides in length. Their secondary structure includes four short double-helical elements and three loops (D, anti-codon, and T loops).
Source: RNAcentral